Molecule: RNA transcript, 2279 nt
Organism: Eptesicus fuscus (big brown bat)
Lineage: Eukaryota; Metazoa; Chordata; Mammalia; Chiroptera; Vespertilionidae
Exons: 4
Source: RefSeq, a predicted model, not a curated record
CCCACGAGCGUUCGCCCAGGGCAGUUAACGCCUGCGCUUGAGACCUGACGUCCGGCCUGGCGGCUUUGAAGAGGUGAGAGUGCGUGCGUCAGGGGAUGGAACUUGCAACCUUGGUGUAUUGGGACGAUGCUCUAACCAAGUGAGCUAUCUGGCCAGGGAGGCCCUUUUCAACUAUGAUUCUGCACAUCUGUCACUCUCACAUCUCUGAUUCCUUUCAUUGGUAUCCAGGAGAACUACUUCCCAGUGAUAUGAAAAGAAAUGGAAUCUGAUCUCGGUUGGAAAUGGCAACCAGUGAGCCAGUUCAUGAAGCGAAUGAUGGCUGCAACAAAGAGUCCCCAGGCACACUCAUCCCCAAGCAAGGAAUCCACACAGAGACAGAAAUCAGCCCUUCACAACAACAGCCUUGACUAUGAAGCUUCCCACCAGCGCUUCAGGCAGUUCUGCUACCAGGAGGUAGCUGGCCCCCAUGAAGCCUUUAGCACACUCUGCGAACUCUAUUGACAGUGGCUGAGGCCUAAGACACUCAAAAGAGAAAAUCCUAGAGCUGCUGAUUUUGGAGCAGUUUCUCACAAUCUUGCUGGAGGAGCUCCAGACCUGCGUGAAGAAACAGCGUCCAGAAAAUGAGGAAGCUGUAGCUCUGGUUGAGGAUGUACAGAGAGUACCUGGGCAACAGCCUGGCUUACUCCACAGGCUACCAGGAACCAUCUCCAGAAGAGGGGUCUUCAAAACCAGAUGUUGCUGAGCUCUGUACCACUGAGAUCAGGUUCUGAGAUGAAGAAUGGGGUUACAAAAGAGAAUCUAAAAUGGGAUAAUUCAGAAGUAGGAGAAAUGAAUAAGAAUUUAUGGAGAAAGUUUAGUAGAAAAGUUUUUUGGCAUUUUGAGUUCAAAACAGGCUAGGAGCGGAACCAAUGACAAGAAAGCAACAUAGACAUUGACCAGGGGAGAGUGAGGAGACAGCUCCAUCCUAGGAGAGGAUGAGUCACCAGAGAUUUUGAACUGAGAAGCCCUGGACACAUCUCUUGUGUGGGAGAGAAUACUCUCAUAGUUCUCUCUCCUCUCAUCACCAGCCAGCCCCUGAACUGGAAAGAGCUUAUAAAUGUCAUGAAUGUGGGAAAAGCUUUAGCCAAGUUUUUUACCUUGUUCGGCAUCAGAAUUCACACAGGAAAGAAGCAUCACUAGUACUGUGAAUAUGGGAAAGGCUUCAGUGAACAUUCCAACCCCACUGCCCACCUGAGGACUCACACAGGGAAGAGACCAUACCAGUGUGGGGAAUGUGGGAAAAGCUUCAACCAGAGCUCUAGCCUCAUUGUUCACCAGAGGACCCACACUGGGGAGAAGCCUUAUCAGUGCACUGUCUGUGGGAAGAGAGUCAACAAGUUUCCAUUUAGUGCUCACUGGCAAGUCCACAUUGUGGAGGGCCUGUACCAGUGUGGGAAAAGCUUCAAGAACAGCUCCCACUUCAGUGCCCACCAGGAAACCCACACUGGGGAAAAGCCACAUAAGUGCUUCCAGUGUGAGAAAAGCUUCCCUCAUCUGCCAUCGGGAUAUACAUAGAAGAGAUACAUUACAGGAAGCAAGAGAUGUGACAAAUAUGUAGAAAACCUGACAUCAACUCCUUAGGUCAACAUGUGUUUCUGAGAGCUUUCCUCUGUGGAUAGUUCUACUAGCCAAUCCCUGGCUCAGCAGUAAACUUGACAACUGGAUCUCAAGAACCAUGUCCAGGAAUAUGAAUCAAUCUAAGAAUGCAGAGCCCUCUUUCUAUUUCUGCCUAGGACUUCACAGUCCUGUCUCACUGUGGAUUUCCAUUUUGCUUUGAAGAGGAGAAUGAUAUAAAACCCAUAAUUCCUGAUGGGAAACUACGGUAUCCUUGUUCUGAACAAAGAAAGUAUAGCUAGUGGCCUGAGAACUGUUUCUGAGCCAUAUCAGGGAAGAAAUACUGUCCCCUCCUGGGGAGUACAUCUAGAAUUUUAAUAGCCUGGAUCUGUUCUAAGCCAAUAAUUGACUACUAGGUACCUACUGCUAUAUACAAUUGCAACCUUCAGGUCAUAUUCUGUAACAGAGCCAUGAACAAAGGAAAGAAAGGAUAGGUUAAGCCAUUGGGUAAUAUGAAAUCAAAGCAACCUAAUCGUAAGCAAGUGUAAUAUCUAGGUUAAUUUUGUAAGAUUUCUCAUCUCACCAUCACUCCCAACCCAGUUUUUGGUUUCUUCUUCCGUUGCAUUUAUACAAGUUUAUAAGCAUUAUUAUCUUUGAUGAAAAUAAAGUUAUUUCUCCCUCCCCUU